This 89-nucleotide transfer RNA is filed under the name Anaerotruncus sp. G3(2012). It matches the Rfam family "tRNA". Rfam says of the family: Transfer RNA (tRNA) molecules are approximately 80 nucleotides in length. The record is from Rfam by way of RNAcentral. Lineage: Bacteria; Bacillati; Bacillota; Clostridia; Eubacteriales; Oscillospiraceae.
GGAGAAGUCGCCUAGCUUGGUUUAUGGCGCACGACUGGAACUCGUGUAAGGUCUAACAGCCUUCGAGGGUUCGAAUCCCUCCUUCUCCG